GACGAACGCUGGCGGCGUGCCUAAUACAUGCAAGUCGAACGCUGAAGGAGGAGCUUGCUUCUCUGGAUGAGUUGCGAACGGGUGAGUAACGCGUAGGUAACCUGCCUGGUAGCGGGGGAUAACUAUUGGAAACGAUAGCUAAUACCGCAUAAUAGUAGAUGUUGCAUGACAUUUGCUUGAAAGUUGCAAUUGCAUCACUACCAGAUGGACCUGCGUUGUAUUAGCUAGUUGGUGAGGUAACGGAUCACCAAGGCAACGAUACAUAGCCGACCUGAGAGGGGGAGCGGCCACACUGGGACGGAGACCCGGCCCAGACGGCCUCGGGAGGCAGCCGGAGUGCAACGUCAGGCAGGGACGGAAGACUGAGCGCGAAACGCCGAGGGAGGGAAGAAGGGUGUCGGAUCGGAAAGGUCGGUUGUAAGAGAAGAACGAGCGUGAGAGUGGAACGUUCACACUGUGACGGUAGCUGACCAGAAAGGGACGGCUAACUACGUG
Molecule: ribosomal RNA, 495 nt
Filed under: uncultured bacterium
Lineage: Bacteria
Description: partial 16S ribosomal RNA
Rfam family: Bacterial small subunit ribosomal RNA
Source: RNAcentral